AUUGAACGCUGGCGGCAGGCCUAACACAUGCAAGUCGAACGCGUGGCGGACGGGUGAGUAAUGUCUGGGAAUCUGCCUGAUGGAGGGGUAUAACUACUGGAAACGGUAGCUAAUACCGCAUACUAUCGGAUGCGCCCAUAUGGGAUUAGCUAGGAGGUGGGGUAAAGGCUCACCUAGGCGACGAUCCCUAGCUGGUCUGAGAGGAUGACCAGCCACACUGGAACUGAGACACGGUCCAGACUCCUACGGGAGGCAGCAGUGGGGAAUAUUGCACAAUGGGCGCAAGCCUGAUGCAGCCAUGCCGCGUGUAUGAAGAAGGCCUUCGGGUUGUAAAGUACUUUCAGCGGGGAGGCGUUACCCGCAGAAGAAGCACCGGCUAACUCCGUGCCAGCAGCCGCGGUAAUAC
RNAcentral lists this ribosomal RNA (406 nucleotides) under uncultured bacterium. Its description in RNAcentral is "partial 16S ribosomal RNA". It matches the Rfam family "Bacterial small subunit ribosomal RNA", at positions 30 to 526 of the family's 1533-position model. The record is from RNAcentral.